UGCAGAUGAUAAUGGUGAAGGUGGUACAUUUGCUCUUUACUCUCUGUUGUGUAGACAUGCAAAGUUUAGUCUACUUCCCAACCAACAGGCAGCAGAUGAGGAGCUAUCUGCUUACAAAUAUGGCUUUUCGGGGCAGUCGACAUCAUGUUUAUCAUUGAAGAGAUUUCUUGAGAAGCAUAAGAAGUCACGUACAAUACUCCUUAUUGUUGUAUUAUUAGGUGCUUGUAUGGUCAUAGGAGAUGGUGUUCUGACUCCUGCAAUGUCAGUUAUAUCAUCAAUGUCAGGGAUCCAGGCUGCUACUGAACACCUAUCUCAUGGUGGUGUGCUUAUUCUCUCGUGCAUAAUAUUGGUUGGCCUGUUUGCCUUGCAGCAUUCUGGAACACACAGGGUUGGAUUCUUGUUUGCUCCUAUAGUGACUAUCUGGUUGAUAUCUAUUUUUCUCAUUGGGCUGUAUAAUACUAUAUUUUGGAAUCCCAAAAUUGUGUCUGCACUUUCUCCAUAUUAUAUCGUCAAGUUCUUUAAGGAAACUGGGAAAGAUGGUUGGGUUUCCUUAGGAGGUGUCCUCCUCUCAAUUGCAGGUUCUGAAGCUAUGUUUGCAGAUCUUGGUCAUUUCACUGCCACCUCAAUGAGGAUUGCAUUUCCUUUUUUUGUAUACCCUUGCUUGGUGGUACAGUACAUGGGUCAGGCUGCUUUUCUGUCCAAAAACAUUGAUUCAAUUCCAAAUAGUUUCUAUAAUUCAGUACCCGACAGCGUAUAUUGGCCUGUCUUUGUUAUUGCUACCCUUUCAGCCAUUGUUGGCAGUCAGGCUGUAAUCACUGCUACAUUCUCCAUUGUGAAGCAAUGUAAUGCACUGGGUUGCUUCCCACGAGUCAAGAUUGUCCACACGUCAAAGCAUAUUAAAGGACAGAUCUAUGUCCCAGAAAUAAAUUGGAUCCUAAUGAUUUUGACCCUUGCUGUGGCUGUUGGAUUUCAGGACACCACUUUAAUAGGAAAUGCAUAUGGUCUAGCUUGCAUGACAGUUAUGUUUAUCACGACAUUUCUCAUGGCGCUUGUCAUAAUCUUUGUCUGGCAAAAAAGUGUAGCACUUGCAAUUCCUUUUCUCCUUUUAUUCGGAAUCAUCGAAGGCGUCUACCUGUCUUCUGCAUGCAUCAAGAUCCCACAAGGAGGAUGGGUCUCCCUUGUGCUCUCUUUUGCCUUCUUGACUAUCAUGUUUGUCUGGCACUAUGGAACUCGCAAGAAGUACAACUUUGAUCUUCACAAUAAAGUUCCAUUGAAAUGGCUCCUUGGCUUGGGCCCCAGCCUCGGUAUUGUUCGUGUGCCAGGGAUAGGGCUGAUAUACUCU
This 1342-nucleotide unclassified non-coding RNA is filed under the name Hevea brasiliensis (rubber tree). Lineage: Eukaryota; Viridiplantae; Streptophyta; Magnoliopsida; Malpighiales; Euphorbiaceae. The record is from RNAcentral.